AUGAACGCUAGCGACAGGCCUAACACAUGCAAGUCGAGGGGCAGCACAAGGAGCAAUCUGAGGUGGCGACCGGCGCACGGGUGGGUAACACGUAUGCAACCUGCCUGUAAGCGGGGAAUAACCCGUUGAAAGACGGACUAAUACCGCAUAAUACUAAAUUACUGCAUGGUAAUUUAUUUAAACAUUUAUGGCUUACAGAUGGGCAUGCGCAUGAUUAGCUAGUUGGAGAGGUAACGGCUCCCCAAGGCAACGAUCAUUAGGGGUUCUGAGAGGAAGGUCCCCCACACUGGUACUGAGACACGGACCAGACUCCUACGGGAGGCAGCAGUGAGGAAUAUUGGUCAAUGGACGAGAGUCUGAACCAGCCAAGUCGCGUGCAGGAAGAAUGUCCUAUGGAUUGUAAACUGCUUUUGCAGGGGAAUAAAGUGCAUCACGUGUGAUGUUUUGUAUGUACUCUGCGAAUAAGGAUCGGCUAACUCCGUGCCAGCAGCUGC
This 494-nucleotide ribosomal RNA is filed under the name uncultured bacterium. Its description in RNAcentral is "bacterial SSU rRNA". It matches the Rfam family "Bacterial small subunit ribosomal RNA", at positions 29 to 518 of the family's 1533-position model. The record is from RNAcentral.